Non-coding RNA from Pelobates cultripes (western spadefoot toad), 159 nucleotides. The record is from the annotation of a GenBank genome assembly. NCBI's taxonomy places the organism in Eukaryota, Metazoa, Chordata, Amphibia, Anura, Pelobatidae.
GCAGACACAUUCCAGCCAAUCAGCAGCAGACCCUCCCUCCCAGACCCUCCCAUCUCCUGGACAGAAUGCAGCUUCACAAUGAAUGUAAAAUGGAUGCUGUCCAGGAGGUGGGAGGGUCUGGGAGGGAGGGUCUGCUGCUGAUUGGCUGGAAUGUGUCUG